GCCGAAAUAGCUCAGUCGGGAGAGCAUUAGACUGCAGAUUUAAAGGUCCGUGGUUUGAUCCCGGGUUUCGGCA
Molecule: non-coding RNA, 73 nt
Organism: Acanthochromis polyacanthus (spiny chromis)
Lineage: Eukaryota; Metazoa; Chordata; Actinopteri; Pomacentridae
Source: the annotation of a RefSeq genome assembly